This 2027-nucleotide long non-coding RNA is filed under the name Marmota monax (woodchuck). The record is from RNAcentral. Lineage: Eukaryota; Metazoa; Chordata; Mammalia; Rodentia; Sciuridae.
GCAGCCUCGGUGCCCGCCCCCCCCGCCCCGCGCGGACCCCCGGUCCCGCCCGCACGCGCCCCGCCGCUUCCGGUGCAGCCGACCUCCGCUGCCGCGCGAGGGCGGGAGGCGGGUGCGCCCCGGCGGCGACCCCCAGCCAGCCACGGGCGGCGAGGUCGAGUGGGCCAGGGCAGGUGUCCCGGAGCUCCGCUGCGACGUCGGCCCGGCCCAACGGAUGCCGCGCGCCUGGCAGCUAGAAGGGGGCCCAGACCGUUCUCCACACUGUUCUCAGGUCUUUGUUUAAGACCGUGGGGGGACUGCUCCCGGAGCCCCGAGGAGAAACUGGCAAAGGGGAAACAGUGGAAAAGUUUGGAAUGCCGAGGGAGCAAGACGGCUUUCCCAAGGUUUUUAACCCGUGUGAGGCCUUAAGGGGAGCGGGGUUGGCCCUCUGCCCCUCUAGUGGAAGUUAGUUGUCUGGACGGAAGAGGAAGUGCGCUGCUCAGCCCACUCUCUGAACGCUGCAGAGGAAGCAGGAGAUAACCUUGCCUUCAAGGAACUUGGACUCUUGUUGGGGCCAGUAGCAUGGUGGCCAGAAUACUGCACUAAAACUUGCUGUGGUUGUGGUGAGCCUGACCUCCCACCAGCUGUGAUCUUAGAAAGGCCAUUUAGGUUACCAGUCACAGAGGAUUUAAAACACCAUAAAAAGCUGGUGAACAGUGCCUAGCAUAUAAGUCCUUUACACAGGCAUGCUGUUAUUCAUAUGGGAAAGAAUACAGUAUUCCACAUAGCCAUAAAGGCUGAGAUUAAUGUGCGUGUUGUUUUUUUUUUAAAGUGUGGAGAGAUGAUAUAGCAGAAGACACUACAAACUAUGAUCUCAAACUGUGAUGUACCUUUAAGUUCAUAAUUAAUCUAGAAAAGGAAAAGAAUAUGAUUUGGAGUGUAUCAUAUGAUCAGUAGAAUUUGGGGCACACCAAUAAAAUUCCUUUUAUUAAUGACAAAGGCCUCUAGCCCUCCUUCGUGAAGUGAAAAAGAGUGGAUAUGAAUUAAUUUAUGCAUUUUUAAAAGCAUUGACUGACUUAUGGACCAAUCAUUGAGAAAGAAGGAAGGACCAAAAUAGCACCGGACCUUGUAUCUGAUACACUCAAAGCCAAUAAUAAUUACCAUUAGUUAUUGAGCAUAGGAGCCAGGCAUUAAGCACAUUUCAGUAAUCCUUACAACAGUGAGUUAGGUCUUAUUAAUGUCUCCCACUUCCAACAUUAGAAAACUAAGACUCAGACAUGAUUUCUAAAAAUUGCUUACAAUAAAUUGAUUUCAAAUUCAUUCUGAAUUUGAGGCCAUCCUCCUAACCACAAUGUUUUUACAAACACAAUUCAUUGGUACAAGUAUUAUUACAGUAGCUGUACUAAGUGUUCUAUGAAAAUACAGGCAGUGGGUGGCAAAUUAAGCCUAGAGAAUGUUCAAGAGUGCACUAUAUUCAAGUAACAUUUAUUUGACCUGAGCCUGAGGAAUGGACAGUACUCUGCAAGUGGAGGAGGAGAGAUGAAUGUUCUGGGCAGAGAGAAGUGCAUUCAAAGACAGGAACCUGAAAGAACAAAGUGUGUAGUGGGGCCUACUGAGCAGUUCUGAAUAGAGAAUAGGUUCUCAAGAGGACAGAGGUGAGGUAAGAACAGUGGAAAGGCAUCUUCUCCAGAGGUGAGUUUCAUCCUAGAGGACACAUGGAGCCAUUGAAAGUGCUUGAAUGGAAUGUUAACACAACCAAUCCAGUGUUUUAGUCUGAUUUCUGCUACCAGCAUUGCAGCAUAGAAGGGGAGAGACUGAAACACAGGACCACCAUUUAAAGUCUUAUGCAAAAUUCCAUUGGUUUGAAGAAGCAUGGCCUAUAUAAAAGACUAAGACAUAAAAGGAUUGGAACAGAGCUGGAAGGCGGGUGUUCAGUAUUUUAGUUAGUUCUUCUUGGCCAAGUGCUAUCGUUUGAAUAUAAUUUGUCCCCACCAAUACUCAUGUUGAAAUUUGACUCUCAAUAUGGUAGUAUUGGGGGGCCUUUUGGG